RNAcentral lists this ribosomal RNA (251 nucleotides) under uncultured prokaryote. RNAcentral's name for it is "partial 16S rRNA". It matches the Rfam family "Bacterial small subunit ribosomal RNA", at positions 525 to 775 of the family's 1533-position model. The record is from RNAcentral.
ACGGAAGGUCCAGGCGUUAUCCGGAUUUAUUGGGUUUAAAGGGAGCGUAGGCCGCUUGGUAAGCGGGCAGUGAAAUGCAGAGGCUCAACCUCUGACUUGCUGUUCGAACUGCCGGGCUUGAGUACGCACGAGGUAGGCGGAAUUUGUGGUGGAGCGGUGAACUGCUUGGAGAUCACAAAGAACCCCAAAUGCGAAGUCAGCUUAGCGGAGCGCAACUGACAAUGGAGCUCGAAAGUGCGGGUAUGGAAGAG